Long non-coding RNA from Heterocephalus glaber (naked mole-rat), 2572 nucleotides. The record is from Ensembl. NCBI's taxonomy places the organism in Eukaryota, Metazoa, Chordata, Mammalia, Rodentia, Bathyergidae.
GGCUGCUGUGUGCCGAGGAGAUGCCUGCGCUCCCUGAGGCAGGGUCUGCUCUUCCUUUCCACACCCUGUGCCAGCGUGCUGCCCAGUGACAAAGGCAGCCAGACCUGGGUGUGCUGUAGCAGCUGUGACCUGCCCAUGUGGAUGCAUGUGGAAAAGCAGCUCGCCUGGGCUCAGGGGAGAGUGUGCGGGAGCCCCUGGAAAGCUGCUGGGGAAGAUGGCUUUCGAGAAGGUCUUGAGUGGAGGUGCUCAGGCCCUGAGGAAGAGGCUCUGGUCUGCAGAGGCCAGAUGAGGGAGGAGCAGGGUGGGACUUCGGGGAGGACCCCAGAGUGAGGUCUGGGCAGUAGGCUGCAGGGUGGGGCCCAGCUGCUGGGGAGGGGCACCAGCAUGGGUCUUGCUUCUGCAUCCCACCAGCCUCCUUGAUGCUUCGGGUGCAGCCCUGCAGCCCUCCCAGGGGGAUGUAGGGUGUGUACCUCAGAUGCCACUGGAUUCCCUGGGACAUCUCCCUCCCACCAGGCCCAGUGACCACCUUUUGCUUUUUCCCAGUGCUUAGUAACUGCCACGGAAGGUGUCGGCUGGCAGCCCGCAUUGUGGACACGCCCUGCAAUGAAAUGAACACAGACAUCUUCCUUGAGGAGAUUAACAAAGUUGGAAAAGAGCUGGGAAUCGCCCCAACCGUCAUCCGGGAUGAGGAGCUGAAGACGAGAGGAUUCGGAGGUGGGUGGGAGCUGCCACCCCAUGGGUCUGGGCCUCAGGCAGUGGCCAGGUAACUUGGGAGGCAAAGGCCCAGCGGGGCCUGUGGUGCACCUGUCCUCAACUUUAUCCUCCUUGUGACCUGAAAGAAAGCAGCCCUUGUCCCAGCGCAAGGCCAGAGCCUGGUAAGCUGACCGUCUCUGGAGGAGACAGCGGCAGCCGUCCAGGUUCUGAGGCAUAUUCUGGAAGCAGCCAGACCCACGUCCUUCCCCCGCUGCAGCCUCGUCAUGCCCUGCACACGCCAGCUCAGCAGGGCCUUUCUGUUCCUCGAAUACACAAGUUCAUGCCCAUGUCAGAGCUUCGCAUGGGUGGCUCGCUCCAUCCGGGAAUGCUUUUCCUCAAGGCGCUCAGAUGGCGUGAGCUGUCUUGUCCUGCAAGUCUCAGCCCCAAGGCCACCUUCUCAGGCCCUCCCUGAUGGCUUAGGACCGCUCCCACUGCUCAGGAACUACAAGGGAAGGACAGCUGUGGCGCGGCCACCUGGAGGCUUCCAGGCAGCCUGGGGACUGUCGCAGGCCUGGUCAUCUGUGGCUGUGAAAUAGAGGGACUGGCAGCUGCAGUGCGUGGCCCCUUCGGCACCUCUGCGGGGAUCUACGGCGUCGGCAAAGCGGCCCUGCACCCCCCGGCCCUGGCCAUCCUCAGCCACACCCCUGACGGAGCCACGCAGACCAUCGCAUGGGUGGGCAAGGGCAUCGUCUAUGACACCGGGGGCCUCAGCAUCAAGGGGAAGAAGUCGGGACUCACACAAUCUGGACAGGCACCCUUGAGAAGUGGUAGAAAUGAUUAAAAGGGAAGGAACACAGAGUCCAAGGAGGCAAAGGCAAAGGCAAAGAGUCGUGGCAAUACCAUGUCCCCGGGUUUCCAUGGAGAGAAUUCUGAGUGGUGGCCUCAAGAAGGUCCCCUGGAAGCUGAUGACCCCACAGAAGACGCAGGGAGCAAGUCCCCUGCAGAUGCCACUGGCGGUGGCCCUAGAAGGCCCACAUGGGGUGGCUGUCCGUGGGCUGUCACUGGAGCGCAGCACCUGAAGAGCAAGCACCAUUGUGGCCGCAGCGCUGUCUCUGCCUGCACCCUGCCAUGCAGCUCUUUGUCCUCGUGCCUCCCCUGUGUGAGGAGGCAGGGGACGAGGAGAGGGAGCUCAGAGCAGGCAUUGACAAGCUGGCAGCAGCCCGCAGGGCUCACGGAUGUGCCCCGUCGGUCCGAUGAUGUGUUAAAAUUUGAGUUAGUUACCAACGUUUAAGAACAGGAAGAAUUCUCACGGAAGACUGGAUUUCAGGCCUCUUGGGAACUCAGAGCGUUUGGAAACAUUGACUCCGCCUUGGCACCCUAGCGCGCUCUGCCAGGGCCAGGGCCGAGCGUGCAGCUGCAGGGGCCCAGCCUGCCUUCUCCAGCUUGGCUCUCGCCUCCCUGAUGUUGAGCCACCACCUCAGUUGCUGCUCAGGCUGUCAGCUGUGUUUGCAGAGUGCAUGAUCGUUUCUUAAAACCUCUCUCCUCUAAACUAAAUUAUUUUCAGGACUAAUCACAAAAAUGAAACUAAUAAAGGUUUUUAAAUAAUCCCAACAGCAAACAUUCUCUUUUAUUGAAUUCCAUGCAUAUUAUCAUGCCAGUAAAUUUUUUUUAAAAUCCACUACAAGUAUAGAAAGCAGCAAUGUAUUAACUCUUUAAAUAUUAAUGGAUUUUUAAAAUAGGAAAAAUAGCUUGGUCUGUUGGAAUGGACCGUGGCAUCAGUAUUUGUAUUUGGGCUUUGUCUUUCACAAGUUUGAGCAGUUAAUCGUCGUCACACAUUUAUGUCCAGCAGAGUUGUCAGGCUGUUUUCCCUCAUAGUUGG